ACGCCUGCCAGUGUCGCGUGCCCGUCCUGCCUCUGUCGCUCGCACACGCGCCCGCCCGGCUCGCACACCCCCGCUGCUCUCUCUUCCGCAUGUCCUGCCUCUCUCGCUUCCACUCCUCAGCCUAGCAAUUCAUGUCAUUCAUGCUAAUUAGUGGAGCCGUUCUUCUGCUUCUCUAGCUUCCAUUCCUCCACCCAGCAAUUCAUGCCGUUCAUGGUAAUUAGUGGAGCCGUUCUAGCAAUUCAUGCCGUUCAUGCUAAUUAGUGGAGCCGUUCUUGGCACUAAUAGCAUUCAUGCCUAGCAAUCACUUACGUUCCCACCGCUACUCUGUUGUUUGAAGACGAGCAGCCCCCCUCCCCCCUCCUGUACUGCGUCUGCGUGACUUUGAUUCAGUCUGGCGCUGCGAUCUGAUAAGAUGUUCAAAGGUGCUGCUUCUUUUUUUUAAAAUCUCUCUUGCGGAUUCCAUUCACUACCACUGUUUUCUUUUGUUUGCAUUUACGUUAGAGCAGAGAUUCAAAGCUUCCUUUUUUUAAUCUUCUAUGCGGAUUCGAGUUUUUUUUUUUUGGGUCUUCCGAGAGGUUAGACGCAGGAGAUCUCGAUGCCAUCUUUGAAGACGAUGUGCUGAGGCAUUGGGAUGAGAUGGAGCGAACAAACACCAAGAAAGAGGACCAAGGCCAAAGAACCUGCCGCUGCUGUGUCACAGUGAGGAGAAGGAAGCGCCGCCCUGCAAGGUCAUCGGAGCAGACCGUGCCGGAUAAGAUGAGAAGGCCUUGACUUUUGAGCUCCUGUCGCAGACUCGCAGCCCUGCAAGGUCGUCGGAGCAAACCAUGCCGGAUGAGGCGGUGCGGAGCUCAACGUCGCCUCACCGUCCUGAAGAAGCACUGCACGGAGCUGGGCAACCCCAGGUGGCCGUACCACAAGAUGAAUAGCCUGUAGGCCCUCAUCAACAAUGUCCAGGUCCUGCAGGAGGCGGGCAAGGCGACCGAGCAGCAGUUGAGGGUGACGGUGUACGUGCAGCUCGAGAAGAAGACCAAGAGGCUCAGGCAAACCUGCUUCAAGGCCAAUUACAAGAAGAGACGGCUCUUGGCUCUUGAAGCCGGGGAGGCACCAAGAAACCACAAGUACUGAUCCAAAUCAUGAGUCGUCAACUUAUAUAUGAGUACAACAGGAAGCUUCCACUAACCAAUGCCAUCCCCAAGGCAUUAGAGAACAUUCAUUUAAAAACAUUACCCUUUUUAGAUUUGUUCUUAUAGUAUAUAAAUCACCGCAGCAACACGCGGGGUAUCACCUAGUUCAGUUCUCGAAUUCGAAACCAACCCAGUCAAGAGAUGAUACAUCGUUUAAUUUCUCAUUAGUGUUAUCU
Molecule: long non-coding RNA, 1360 nt
Organism: Panicum virgatum (switchgrass)
Lineage: Eukaryota; Viridiplantae; Streptophyta; Magnoliopsida; Poales; Poaceae
Exons: 3
Source: RefSeq, a predicted model, not a curated record